This is a long non-coding RNA of Bombina bombina (fire-bellied toad), 300 nucleotides long. RefSeq lists it as uncharacterized. Lineage: Eukaryota; Metazoa; Chordata; Amphibia; Anura; Bombinatoridae. The transcript has 3 exons. The record is from RefSeq and is a predicted model, not a curated record.
AGUUCAACAUACUGAUAUGUUUCAGCACUGGUUUGGCCUGUCUGCAUUUCAGUGGACGAGUGACUGCCACAAUUACGAUGGCGUACCGCGAGCAAUGAAGACUUAUUGCUGCUUCAAUUCAGAAGGCUCUGACUGAAAUUUCGCCUUCAAAUAAGCUUCAAUAUGGACUUUUUCCUGGAUAUAUUUUCCAACAACUACCUUUUAUACUAUUGGAAGAAUAAUAUCAUGUGACCAAACCAUACAGAAACGGACCUGGUUGAGAACUUGCACACAGAUGACAACCUGAAAGGGAACUGAGAA